This 497-nucleotide ribosomal RNA is filed under the name uncultured bacterium. Its description in RNAcentral is "partial 16S ribosomal RNA". It matches the Rfam family "Bacterial small subunit ribosomal RNA", at positions 28 to 507 of the family's 1533-position model. The record is from RNAcentral.
GAUGAACGCUGGCGGUGUGCCUAAUACAUGCAAGUCGAGCGAACAGACGAGGAGCUUACUCCUCUGACGUUAGCGGCGGACGGGUGAGUAACACGUGGAUAUCCUACCUAUAAGACUGGGAUAACUUCGGGAAACCGGAGCUAAUACCGGAUAACAUGUUGAACCGCAUGGUUCAACAGUGAAAGACGGUCUUGCUGUCACUUAUAGAUGGAUCCGCGUCGCAUUAGCUAGUUGGUAAGGUAACGGCUUACCAAGGCAACGAUGCGUAGCCGACCUGAGAGGGUGAUCGGCCACACUGGAACUGAGACACGGUCCAGACUCCUACGGGAGGCAGCAGUAGGGAAUCUUCCGCAAUGGGCGAAAGCCUGACGGAGCAACGCCGCGUGAGUGAAGAAGGUCUUCGGAUCGUAAAACUCUGUUAUUAGGGAAGAACAAAUGUGUAAGUAACUAUGCACGUCUUGACGGUACCUAAUCAGAAAGCCACGGCUAACUACGUG